This 76-nucleotide small RNA is filed under the name Flavobacterium caeni. Its description in RNAcentral is "Flavo-1 RNA". It matches the Rfam family "Flavo-1 RNA". The record is from Rfam by way of RNAcentral. Lineage: Bacteria; Pseudomonadati; Bacteroidota; Flavobacteriia; Flavobacteriales; Flavobacteriaceae.
UUUUAGCCCGGAUCGAAGCGGCAUCCUUUUUUGGUUUGCAAAAACAAAAAAGAUACAGCGAAGAGCCGGAAAUAGC